Long non-coding RNA from Drosophila mojavensis, 815 nucleotides. RefSeq lists it as uncharacterized. The transcript has 2 exons. The record is from RefSeq and is a predicted model, not a curated record. Lineage: Eukaryota; Metazoa; Arthropoda; Insecta; Diptera; Drosophilidae.
CCAGUUGGAUAGAUCUACGCAUGCAGUUGGGUUCGCUUUCAUCUUGCGUUCGUAACUUAUGUCAUCAACCAAAUGUCGUAUAACAUGGGAAUCUAAUUAAACAACAACUCUGCUAAAAGGUUGUAUUGGAUAUACCUGUUAUAGAUAUAAUGAAGCAAAUGUCGCAUAGCUCAUCAAUCAACCUAAUGGCAACCCUGGCCAAAUUGCUAUAGUAUAUCUACAUAUACCAAACUACGCAAUAGAAUUGAUCAAUCAAAGUUUCGACAUUUAGCCUAACUUCCAUCUGUUUUACAUAUUUUUUAACUCUAAUCACACAUCCCAUGAUUCUUAAUAUUGUUAUUAUUAUUGUAAUGUUGGCAGCCCUGUUUUAAGCUACACUCAACUUUAUUUUGGUCUUACUUAUGUCAUCAAUCAAAUGUGCCACCGUUUGUCAAUCAAUAUCAAUAUCAACAACAGCAACAGCUCAAAGUUUUAUGGGGGAAUGCACAAAAAUGGAUGUACGAAAAUUUGUGCAACGCCUACGAGCUACCAAUAGCGAAAUCAAUAAAAGGCCAAGCCAACUCGCGUUUAUGGCCAAACGAAAUUAAGCUGAAGUUUCCAGAUAUAGUGGGAUUACACAGCGAGAAAAUUAAAUGUAUUUGAUAUGCCAACCCUUUUGCAUUACAAAUUGGAGGCACUGUCUUCUCCCAGUGCAGUUGUGCAGUUACAUUUAUUUAUUUUGCCCGUGGUUUUUGUUUUGUUUGUGAUUUUGGCUCGUGUUUCGUUUUAUUUUUGCAUUUGUCAACUGAAAUAAAGUGCACAGCUUUUCUUUUUCA